This is a long non-coding RNA of Acanthochromis polyacanthus (spiny chromis), 1990 nucleotides long. RefSeq lists it as uncharacterized. The transcript is spliced from 3 exons. NCBI's taxonomy places the organism in Eukaryota, Metazoa, Chordata, Actinopteri, Pomacentridae. The record is from RefSeq and is a predicted model, not a curated record.
AAGGACGAGUGGCCGUUCCUGUUUGAUGUUCCGUACCUUUUUGACCAUGCAUCCAAACUCCUUGGCUUCUCCGUACAAGACAAGCUGGCACAGGAACUUUCCAAAAAGGAAAAGGGCAUUACUGACUUCCUUGACUCAAAAGGAAUGAAGACUGGUGAAGGUCCAAUACAGCUGGUCUGUGGCAUUGCAAAAUACUUCAAGGAAGACCCUGAACAACUUUUCACCAAGAAAGAGGGUUUUCUUUGGGAUCAAUCCUGAGCGAGGCUCCAAGGCUGAGGUGACCGGGAAGAAACAGACCGGCAUUCCUCCAAAGGUGUCCAGGCUGGUGACUCAGCUUAAGGAGUUCGAAUGCAAGCAGAAGGAAUCUGAAUGGGCGAUUUGAGCUUUUUUCGAAGCGCAAAACAGAACUUUGUGGACUGAAAGUAACACACACAUGCAUACACAAUAUUUGUUUGAAUAGGUGAAUCCAAAAAAAUGGAGUUCUGAAGUAAAACAGUCUUUUACCAUAAUAUAAAUGUUCUUUUACAUGACUGUCCUCAAUAUUGAUUGCACUUGAACCUCUAGAGCUCACCACACACUUUGUGAGUCGAGAGGGUGACUUUCUUCUUCUGCAGGGUCAUUAUUUUGUGAAUACUGUAUGUCCUAAACAAAUCAGUUGUGUCCCUAAGUUCAGUGGAGGGACUUGGGUGAGGAGAUUGAUCUUUGCCACAGCAGGGUUUAAAAUUGGGCUGAGUUUGUCAAUGUGGAGAAUGGGGAGUGGGGAGUUGUAGGACAGUUUCUGCGUCUCCCCAGGGGGGGCUUCUCAUUUUGCACGUGACAGGUGAGCCGACAUCAACAGUGGCAAAUGGUGAUGGUGCCAGGGAUGGCCCGUUGUUUUUUUUUGUUUUUUGUUGUCCCCGAGUCAGUCAUUCGAUUUUUGAAACCAUAGUGAGUCCCAAUCAGAUACUUGAAAAUAUAAAUAUGAAGUAUUUGAAUGAAUAUGAAGUAUUUGAUAUUUUCAAGCAUCAAGUAUUUAUGUCAAGUAUUUGAUAUUUUCAAGCAUCAAGUAUUUAUGUCAAGUAUUUGAUAUUUUCUGUAAUAAAGAUACAGGAAGUUUUUCUGUAAAUUUAAACUUUAAGAAGUACUUUUUAAAGUACUUUUGAAGAAAUAACUAAUAUAAAUUUGAUUACACUGAACCAUAAUAAAAAUGUAGGAAAUGUUAACAUUUAGGUCCAAAUUCUGUAAAUAACUAAAUAUUAUAUCUGAAUAUAUGUAUAUUUUACAGAAAAUUUAAAGGUUUGAUUGAGGACGAACUUGGAGCCAUGUGAUUGAAUCAGGACAUCCCUAGUGGGAUGUUUGUGAAGGCGCUCAAUAGUCCGGAAAAUAUUUUCCAUUGUGAAAAAGUUUUAAAUAAGGCAACUGAACAUAAUGACAAUGCUUGAUAAACUUCAAAGUGGGAGCUCCAUUAUUUUCUAUUGUAUUUUAUGUUUUUGUGCAAAUGUCUCCAUUCAGUUUGUAUGAUAUACAGGUGGUGGAGGGGUUAUGUAAAAAUAAGCACAGCAUAAAUUCUAUGGGUUCCAAUCCCCCAUGUUCAAGUGGAGGGAAGUUCAAGUGGAGGGAAGUUGAGUGAUAUUUGUCACUGCUAAACAACUGGUAGAACUGAGUCUGUCAGUGUGGAAUGUGGAGUUGGAGGGGUAGAUUUCUACUUCCUCCUGGAGGGGGUUCCUCAUUUUCCACUGAGAGGCAAACCAGCAACAGCAAUGGCAAAUGCAGUGUUUUAUCGUUUUCCUGAAAUGUCUUUAACUAUGGACGAUUGGCACCAUAACCUCAAUUUCAUGGAUAUGUAUUGCUGCACUAAUGUUUUAUAGAAAACUUGUUGCACUUUUUUUUUUUUUUUUUAAUAGAGAAGUUGUAUGUUGUUGGAACGUUAAUGUUUAUGUUUAUUUAAGAAAUUGGAGUAAAUACAUACAACUGUUUGAACAAAACAAAAUAAAUAACUGUUCUCUUUCAA